Molecule: ribosomal RNA, 303 nt
Filed under: uncultured bacterium
Lineage: Bacteria
Description: bacterial SSU rRNA
Rfam family: Bacterial small subunit ribosomal RNA
Source: RNAcentral
UAGGGAAUUUUGCGCAAUGGGGGAAACCCUGACGCAGCAACACCGCGUGAAUGUUAAGCCCUUCGGGGUGUAAAGUUCUGUCAGUGGGGAAGAAUAAUGACUGUACCCACAAAGGAAGCACCGGCUAACUCCGUGCCAGCAGCCGCGGUAAUACGGGGGGUGCAAGCGUUGUCCGGAAUCAUUGGGCGUAAAGCGUUCGUAGGCGGUAAAGUAAGUCAGAUGUUAAAGCCCGGGGCUCAACUCCGGUUCGGCAUUUGAUACUACUUAACUAGAAUGUGGUAGAGGUAAAGGGAAUUCCUGGUG